Pseudophryne corroboree (corroboree frog) is the source of this 925-nucleotide long non-coding RNA. RefSeq lists it as uncharacterized. The record is from RefSeq and is a predicted model, not a curated record. Lineage: Eukaryota; Metazoa; Chordata; Amphibia; Anura; Myobatrachidae. The transcript is spliced from 2 exons.
AGCAGCAGGCACGGAUAGAGACGGGGGCGAUGGGGGCGGUCGCCCCCCCUAGCAAACUCCGUCCGACAGGCAGACAAACUGUCUGUGAAGUCCUGCUCCCUCCUCCCUCCUCCCUUCCUCACUCAGCUGGCUGUCAGCUAUUGUCAGUGGCGCCGAGCCGAGCUCCCAGACGCAGCAUCUCACAGCAGGUGCCCUUCCUCCCCACUCACCCCUUUGGCCUGGACGGCAGUAAAUCAACAUAUUUUGUUGAUUGAGACUGCUUUCUUGUGGCAUCUAAACAGUGCUGAUAAGACGAGGUCAGGAAGUGGCUGUGUGCUGGGGGCGUGGCUACAGUUACAUGACAGGCCUGUGGGCUAAUAGAAACAGUAUAGUGUUGGGAGGGUAGAACCUGUUCUGUGUACACUGUACACAGGAAGAGGAAGCAUAAUGGAACUGUGCGUUCCAUUUCUUUCUGUCCUGUGUUCCACUUUACUUUGCUGCACAGAGUGAGAGCACACUGCAUUCCUGCACCCAGAGACCAGCCAGAGGGACUAUCCUGCCAGUCUGCCACAGGGACCAUCCUGCCAGUCAGUCACAGGGACCAUCCUGCCAGUCAGUCACAGGGACCAUCCUGCCAGUCAGUCACAGGGACCAGCCUGUUGCAGAGGGGCCAUACAACCGGGAAAGGUGGCUACAUGGAAACAUUGCUCUACAAUGCUAAGAAGCUUGGUAAAUCUCUAAUCCUUAUACUCAAAACGGUCUCCAAACAUGAUGGAACAGAUAAUAUUGGAGAAGGCAUCCAUAAUCAUCUUGGAUGGAUCCAAAGAAAGAACUGGAACAGAAAAAAAUAUUGAUCACUUAUUUAUAUUACAGUAUAUAAUCUCCUCUAAAUGACUGUUGACUUCAUUAAAUGUUAAGCAUUCAAUAAUGAAACAUUUUCAAAGUA